CUCUUGCAAUGGUAUAUGUGUUUCACCUCAAGAUGCAGAUCCUGUUUAUGAUACAUUUAAUGAGAUCAAAGAAACAGCUGUAAGCCUCCUAGUAAAUAAUACUGAAGGUGUUUUUCACAGUUCAAAUGGUGCUGAGGCAGGCCAAAAUCUGGCAGUUACCCAAAAUGCUGUGGAGGAACCCACUUAUUCACAGAGAAAUUAUUCCACUCCUCAAGUGAUAAUAUGUCAGUUGAAAAAUGGCACUCAUAUACUUUGUGUAAACAAUACUGAGACAAGAGAAUUGAAAGCUAUUCAUUUGGUUCCCCAGUAUCAAGAACAGCGUAAGUAUUUAUAAUAGAUAUAUUGUUUCUGAUAUUCAAAUUAU
This 364-nucleotide long non-coding RNA is filed under the name Notechis scutatus (mainland tiger snake). Its description in RNAcentral is "lncRNA (ENSNSUG00000016393.1)". Lineage: Eukaryota; Metazoa; Chordata; Lepidosauria; Squamata; Elapidae. The record is from RNAcentral.